AUACCAAUAUACAAAAUUUAUCAAAACAAGAACACUAAUAACACUAUCAAUCUUCUCAUUUCUUGAUAACAAUAUACAAAAUUUAGCAAAACAAGAAGACUAAUAACACUAUCAAUAUUCUCAUUUCUUGAUAACAAUAUACAAAAUUUAGCAAAACAAGAACACUAAUAACACUUUAAAUCUUCUCAUUUCUUGAUAACAAUAUACAAAAUUUAGCAAAACAAGAACACUAAUAACACUAUCAAUCUUCUCAUUUCUUGAUAACAAUAUACCAAAUUUAGCAAAACAAGAACACUAAUAACAAUCAAUCUUCUCAUUUCUUGAUAACAAUAUACCAAAUUUAGCAAAACAAGAACACUAAUAACACUAUCAAUCUUCUCAUUUCUUGAUAACAAUAUACAAAAUUUAGCAAAACAAGAACACUAAUAACAUUAUCAAUCGUCUCAUUUCUUGAUAACAAUAUACAGAUAAGUAUGCUACGAAAAAAGAAGCAAAGAAAUAACUCACGUAAUAGAGUCCUAAAGAUGUGUGUACAGAUAUAGGAAGCAGCGGUGUGGCCUUUGAAGCCAUCAUAAAUUCCAACGAAUAAUGCCUCAUGGCUUACAUCGACUUGGUUGUGAUCUUCCAUAUCCUUAUUUGACUGAAGAGAAGCCAUGGAGAAUUCCCCAAGGCAAUGCCUUUCAUUUUUGAGAGAUUUUGCUAAAUGGUCAGCGUCAAACGUUUCUUGAUAACAAGAACACUAAUAACACUAUCAAUCUUCUCAUUUCUUGAUAACAUUAUGCAAAAUUUAGCAAAACAAGAAUACUAAUAACACUAUCAACCUUCUCAUUUCUUGAUAACAAUAUACAAAAUUUAGCAAAACAAGAACACUAAUAACACUAUCAACCUUCUCAUUUCUUGAUAACAAUAUACAAAAUUUAGAAAAACAAG
RNAcentral lists this long non-coding RNA (930 nucleotides) under Lathyrus oleraceus (garden pea). RNAcentral's name for it is "Pisum sativum (pea) long non-coding RNA (PSAT_LNC041118)". The record is from RNAcentral. Lineage: Eukaryota; Viridiplantae; Streptophyta; Magnoliopsida; Fabales; Fabaceae.